Molecule: ribosomal RNA, 468 nt
Filed under: uncultured bacterium
Lineage: Bacteria
Description: partial 16S ribosomal RNA
Rfam family: Bacterial small subunit ribosomal RNA
Source: RNAcentral
GACGAACGCUGGCGGCGUGCUUAACACAUGCAAGUCGAACGGAAAGGCCCUGCUUUUGUGGGGUGCUCGAGUGGCGAACGGGUGAGUAACACGUGAGUAACCUGCCCUUGACUUUGGGAUAACUUCAGGAAACUGGGGCGAAUAUCGGGUAGGAGCUCCUGCUGCAUGGUGUGGGUUGGAAAGUGUCGGCGGUGGGGGAUGGACUCGCGGCUUAUCAGCUUGUUGGUGGGGUAGUUGCUUACCAAGGCUUUGACGGGUAGCCGGCCUGAGAGGGUGACCGGCCACCUUGGGACUGAGAUACGGACCAGACUCCUACGGGAGGCAGUAGUGGGGAAUAUUGCACAAUGGGCGGAAGCCUGAUGCAGCAACGCCGCGUGCGGGAUGACGGCCUUCGGGUUGUAAACCGCUUUCGCCUGUGACGAAGCGUGAGUGACGGUAAUGGGUAAAGAAGCACCGGCUAACUACGUG